Molecule: long non-coding RNA, 2058 nt
Organism: Aquila chrysaetos chrysaetos
Lineage: Eukaryota; Metazoa; Chordata; Aves; Accipitriformes; Accipitridae
Exons: 3
Source: RefSeq, a predicted model, not a curated record
UCUCCUUGAUGAGCUCGCCCGAGGCCUCCUCUGGGAAGAACGUUGCGGUCCCUCUGCAUCGCCCAUCGGCGUGCUCCCCAGAACGUCCCGUUUCCCUUGGACUGGGGCGCCCGGCACCGGACCCAGGCCUCCAGGGGCAGGACCCCCCCCCCCCCCCCCCCCCCGCAAUGCUCUGCCUAAGGCAGCCCAGGACACCCCGAGUCUUCUUUGCAGCGCACGGUCACCUUGGUGUCCACCAGCACCCCAGGGCCUUUUCCACUCGUGCUUCUGCUGAUGGCUUCACCGAGAUGUGCUGCAGGCUGGUGCUGGCCCGGCUCAGCUCAGCGAGGGCUCCGGGUGGGGUGUCCUGGCCCUUGGAUUUCAGGCUGAGGGCAGGAUUCUGCUCGGCAACCGAAGGUGCACUUUCAGAGACCCUGGGGAGGGCAGAGCGGCACAACAUCCAAAGAAGAGCUCCUGUACAGCUACCAUGCUCCCUGUGAAGACAGCCCUUCUCCUCACGCUGCUCCUCAUCCUCUCCCAGCAUUGCACAGGAGGCUCCUCGCCUGCUCCCAACAGGCUGCACAGUGCUGCAGAAGUCAGGAAAGGAAGAUUUCUGUGGCAGGACAUCAGGCAGGUGGUACUGAGCACCUGUCCUGGUUUCAGCUGGGAUAGAGUUAAUUUUCUUCCUAGUAGCUGAGAGCAUCAUGAAAUGUUGCCGUGGAGCUGGAAGGCACUCUGGUAGGAGAGGAGCUCUGCAGCAUCAGCAGUAGGCAAGAUAUUAACCUGCAGUUCCAUCAGCACCACAGUUGGCAAGACUGGGAAGGCACUGCCCACUGGAGAAGGUCUUGCUGAGCCAAGGUCCUGCGGAGAUGCAUGCAGGUCCAUGAGAGAGGAGGAGGUUGUGCAUGGAAAGGGAAGGGCUCAUGGUUUUUGCUGUCACUGACUUGUUCUUACUGAGCUCUGUUAACUCUCUUCCUGUUUCCACCCCCCUCCUAAUUGGAAUGUAGAAAAUUAUCCUAAUUGAGCAGAGACUCCAACUUGCUAAGGGCAAUCUAGGUAAGGCUUGUACUUAUGUGCAGUACUCAUGGAGCAGGAUGGCUCCUGUCCAUCUUCUACACCAGAGACUUUGGAAGAUGACCGCAGGCAUUGCCCACUCCAUGAUCCUUGGUGCCAACAUCUCCAAGAUGGGAGGAGAGUGUGAAGGAGUUCACUUUGUGUCCAAUCAGUUUCAUCAGUGCUAGCGAACAUGAGAACUAGAAUAGAAAUAAAAGGGAAGGAAGCAACAAAUAGGCGUCAUUGUGCAGUCAUGAGGCAAGAGGAAGACUCGAGUGCAGAGAGGAACUGAACAUCAGAAAGAGCAUGGGAAGAGAUGAAGAAGUCCAGAGGGGAGAGCAAGAGAGACAAACGGCCUCUCGCGUGUCAUUCUUGUGGCUCUUGUACCACAAGAAUUUUGUUUUAUGACCCUCUUGUCAGCAAAUAUCCUGCUGAUAUUGCUGUUUCCCCAUGUGGGUUGGUUCCCAGAUGAGAGCUCAGCUGUGCUUCAGCCACGAGGUUCCACUGGCUGGUGGAGAAGAGUUCCAGCGAACAUCCUUUAGCCCAGGAGAUGUGCACAGCUGGGCUGUGCGUGCCCAGCACAGGGGGUCCGAGGGAGACCUGGGGUGCGGAGAGGUGCAGCCAAAGCCAAGUGUCUAAGACUCUGCCCUCUCCCUGGCAAAGAUGUCCACGGGGCUUUGGGAGCACACCUGCUAUAUGCAGAGGUGCAGGAUCAGCCCAGGGACAUGCCAGCAUUCCCAAAUUCUCAUCGCCACUUGGUUUCUGCAACCCUCCUUCAGUCUUUGACCUGGGAGCAUCCCUGCAGGACAGGCUUUGCUGUCCUCUUCUGCUCCCUGUGCUGUGGUGAAGGUGGUGUUGGGACCAUGCUCACUGGUGAUAGAAGAUGGUCCCAGUAGAAUACUGCUCCCCAGACUCUGUUUUGGGGAGGGCUGUGGUGGUGGGCCCUCAUCCUGCAUGCUCAGUUUGGGCUCCAUCAUCUUGGGAAACAGGGAGAAAACAGGAAUGGGAGGAAGGGGGCAGAGAAAA